GGUGAUUCAGUGGUAGAAUUCUCAUCUGCCAGGUGGGAGACCUGGGUUCUAUUCCCUGCC
RNAcentral lists this transfer RNA (60 nucleotides) under Loxodonta africana (African savanna elephant). It matches the Rfam family "tRNA", at positions 6 to 65 of the family's 71-position model. From Rfam's summary of the family: Transfer RNA (tRNA) molecules are approximately 80 nucleotides in length. Their secondary structure includes four short double-helical elements and three loops (D, anti-codon, and T loops). The record is from Rfam by way of RNAcentral. Lineage: Eukaryota; Metazoa; Chordata; Mammalia; Proboscidea; Elephantidae.